GCAGAGAUGCCAGAUUUCUAUGCCGAAGGUGAGUAUGACCUCAGUGGGUUUGCUGUUGGCAUUGUGAAAAAGGAUUCAGUUAUUGACGGGAAAAACAUCAAGGUUGGAGACGUUCUUAUUGGUUUACCAUCUAGUGGAGUUCAUUCAAAUGGGUUUUCUCUUGUUAGAAGGGUUCUGAAGCAAAGUGGCCUUUCUUUGAAAGACCAACUUCCUGGUGAAUCUAUUACACUUGGUGAAGCUUUGAUUGCCCCAACUGUUAUAUAUGUUAAACAGGUUCUUGAUAUUAUUAGCAAAGGAGGGGUUAAAGGAAUAGCCCACAUUACCGGAGGUGGCUUCACUGACAAUAUCCCUCGAGUAUUUCCCAAAGGCCUUGGAGCCCUUAUUUACGAAGGCUCUUGGACAAUUCCUCCUGUUUUUAAAUGGAUUCAAGAGGCCGGAAGAAUAGAAGAUGCUGAGAUGAUGCGUACUUUCAAUAUGGGAGUCGGUAUGGUCCUUGUAGUAAGUCCAGAAGCAGCUGAUGGGAUACUUAUGGAAGUACAGAAGACAAGCAUUGCAUACCGGAUUGGUGAGGUUGUUAAGGGUGACGGAGUAAGUUAUAGCUGAAAGCUAUUUGGUGGUCAUCGGAGGAUAGACAUGACGUAAUGAGAGUUUUUUCUCCUACCUUCAAUUAAGAGUUUGAAAUUUAGGAGCCUCUCUUAUCGAUCGUGUUUAUGGAUCUUUGUGUUUGUCUAACAACCAAUGCAUAGACACUUAAAGAUGUGUUGUGUUAUGUGUAUUAGUGUGUCAUCAGUUACAUCUGUUAGCCACGAGGAGGAUGUAGACAAGUUCAACAGAUUUU
This 838-nucleotide unclassified non-coding RNA is filed under the name Hevea brasiliensis (rubber tree). The record is from RNAcentral. Lineage: Eukaryota; Viridiplantae; Streptophyta; Magnoliopsida; Malpighiales; Euphorbiaceae.